GUCUUCUUGUAAGUGUAGGAAGUCUGGCCUGCCCAGUGAAAAUGUAUUUAACGGCCGCGGUACAUUGACCGUGCAAAGGUAGCAUAAUCAUUAGUCUUUUAAUAGGGGACUGGAAUGAAGGGUUCAACGAAAUACUAACUGUCUCAAAUUAAUAUAUUUUAAUUUGAUUUUUAAGUCAAAAAGCUUAAAUUUUAUUGAAGGACGAGAAGACCCUAUAGAGCUUUAUAGUUAAUGUUAAUAAAUAUUUUAUUUUAUUUUUGGUUUGUUAGUAUUAACUUUUUUGUUGGGGUGACAACAGAUAUAUAAACAACUUUUUUAUUUAAAAAACAUUUAUUUAUGGUUAAUAGAUCCAUUACUAUUGAUUAUUAGAAUGAGUUACCUUAGGGAUAACAGCGUAAUCUUCCUUCAGAGUCCAUAUUUACAGGGAGGGUUGCGACCUCGAUGUUGGAUUAAGAUUAUAAUUAGGUGUAGCAGCUUAAUAUAUAGGUCUGUUCGACCUUUAAAUUCUUACAUGAUCUGAGUUCAGACCGG
This 531-nucleotide ribosomal RNA is filed under the name Hetaerina laesa. RNAcentral describes it as "partial 16S ribosomal RNA". It matches the Rfam family "Bacterial large subunit ribosomal RNA", at positions 1831 to 2619 of the family's 2925-position model. The record is from RNAcentral. Lineage: Eukaryota; Metazoa; Arthropoda; Insecta; Odonata; Calopterygidae.